GCCAGCAGCCAUAUCACGCUGCAGCCCACUGAAGCUAAGAAGGUGUGAGCCUGGUCAGUACCUGGAUGGGAGACCUCCUGGGAAAAGCUAAGGUUGCUGCUGGAA
RNAcentral lists this ribosomal RNA (105 nucleotides) under Lepisosteus oculatus (spotted gar). The record is from RNAcentral. Lineage: Eukaryota; Metazoa; Chordata; Actinopteri; Semionotiformes; Lepisosteidae.